ACAAAAAAAAAACCAAAAAAAAAAGUCUUAAUUUGUUUCUUGUUCUUCUUCUUCUCUCUGUCGUUUGUUCUCUUGAUCUUUGAUCUCUGUGUUAUAUGUUGUAGCAAAAGAAGUAAACAACACACACAUAUAUAAAUAUUUGUAAGAUAUAUAUAUAUAUAUAUAUGAUCAUGGGUUUUCUUCACAAGCUUUGGGACGAAACGCUGGCGGGUCCGGCACCGGAAACGGGUCUGGGGAAGCUCCGAAAGUACAAUUCGUUCUCCGGCGGAAUCUCCGUCCGGUCAACGGUGGCGGAGGCAGUUCCGAUAAGUCGCAGCAUCACCAUUGUUCGGUCCCAGUCUGGUUUCGGAAGCACCACCACCUCUGCUUCUUCUUCUCCUUCUGGAUCUACCACCCCUCGCUCCCCCUUAACUCCGGAGGCACCAGGCGGUGAUUUCAAGAAGUUCACGAGGAGAAAAUCGUCAACAGUGGAGAGUGCCGAUAAUACAUAAUAGAAGUCCGACUAUUUACGAUUGGGUGAUUAUGAGUGCUUUGGAUCGUUGUUGAGAGGGGAAAUGAGAUGUUUUGGCUUUGAAAUUUGAAUAGCAUUCGGCAGAGACAGAGGGAUUACGUUUAAUUUCUGUACACACGGCAACACAGAUUCCAAAUUCCAAAAGGGAAUCAUCAAUCAUAUCAUAAUAUGUAUGGCAACUUAUUAUAAUGUAUAGUAUUAUAUAGUAUAUAGUAUAUAGUACAUAGUACUAUCAUAUUAUGUAAAUAUGAGUACCUACCAAUAAAAUGGCUCGGAUGAUGCAGGGUCUUUUUUCAGCAGAUUGAGCCAAUGCUUCAUGGGAUUCUGCGGAUGUAAAGGAGUAGAGACAGCUUCUGUAUAUUUGUAUAUAUGGUUUUAACUUGUUUUUCGUUUUCUGAGUUUUUGGCUGUUGUAAAUAUGAAUUCUGUACUCUGAAAUCUCUAUCAGUUGAAAUCAAUGAAGCUUGAAAGUAGUUAUUAUAUAUAUGUUAA
RNA transcript from Glycine soja, 1002 nucleotides. It is a transcript of the gene named dormancy-associated protein homolog 3-like, with no coding region annotated. The transcript is spliced from 3 exons. Lineage: Eukaryota; Viridiplantae; Streptophyta; Magnoliopsida; Fabales; Fabaceae. The record is from RefSeq and is a predicted model, not a curated record.